GUAAGGAAUAUUGGACAAUGGACGCAAGUCUGAUCCAGCCAUGCCGCGUGAAGGAUUAAGGUCCUCUGGAUUGUAAACUUCUUUUAUAAGGGACGAAAAAAGGCUUUUCUAAGUCGUCUGACGGUACCUUAUGAAUAAGCACCGGCUAACUCCGUGCCAGCAGCCGCGGUAAUACGGAGGGUGCAAGCGUUAUCCGGAUUCACUGGGUUUAAAGUGUGCGUAGGCGGGCAGGUAAGUCAGUGGUGAAAUCCUAGAGCUUAACUCUAGAACUGCCAUUGAUACUAUCUGUCUUGAAUAUUGUGGAGGUAAGCGGAAUAUGUCAUGUAGCGGUGAAAUGCUUAGAUAUGACAUAGAACACCUAUUGCGAAGGCAGCUUACUACGCAUAUAUUGACGCUGAGGCACGAAAGCGUGGGGAUCAAACAGGAUUAGAUACCCGUGUAGUCC
This 445-nucleotide ribosomal RNA is filed under the name uncultured bacterium. RNAcentral's name for it is "bacterial SSU rRNA". It matches the Rfam family "Bacterial small subunit ribosomal RNA", at positions 354 to 796 of the family's 1533-position model. The record is from RNAcentral.